CUCUCGCACAGCUGCUCGCACCCUGGGGACCCUUCCAGACCGUCCGCACAGCACGACCGCGACUCCAUCCGUGCCUUCAGGACGCAAGAGCAACAGGCACGCGGACAGCCAAGACGCCCAGCGGGUAACCGCCACAGCCGCGCGUCACUCACCUCCAACGGCGGCCCGGGCUGCUUCCGGGUCAGAGGUCCGCGAAGGCCGUUGCUUCCGGAAGGGGCCAAUGAAGAGCAAUGCGCCUGGGAACCAGCGCGGCAGUUUCAGACACGCAGCCUCUGAUCCUAGCCUGACCCUGGGGACGCUGGGUCUCCCUCAGGCUCGGCCAGCAGCGUCGAGGACGGCUCCUCCCCUCACGGCUUGCACAGACUCUGGGGCAGGAGAGGACGCGACGCUGACUCCCAGCAGAGCACUGCCUGGCAGUCGCGCCCAGUGUGCGUGCGGAUGCACUUCCGGGUCACCGCGCCAAGCGCAGGCGCACUCCCCACCGGCCAUCACCAUGGCACCCCAGGACGCACCUGCACACUGUGGCAUCCAGUGUCCGAAGCCCCAAGGCCGCUUCCAGUCCUGCCUCUCCAGGCUGUAACCAGGGACGCAGAUAUUGAUGGCCCACGUUCUCUGGACCCCACCUCCCUGCCUCGUGGGAGUCCUCAAUGGAGCUCCUGCCUCCUGCCUCCUGCCUCCUGCCUCCUGGCUUCUGCCUGGCCCAGUGCUGGCCGCUCGUUGCAGCCACUUGGGGAGAGAAGCAGUGCAGGGGACUUCGCCAGCUCUCUCUCUCUCUCUCUCUCUCUCUCUUUGAGUGGUCUUCCAUCUGGGGGUUCACCCCCGAGGUGGCUACAAAGGCCGGGACUGGACAGAAGCCAGGGGCUGAAGCAGAAGCCAGGGACUUUAGCCAGCACUCCAUUCUGGGUUCAGGGGCCUAAAUCUUGGACUGUCUCCCUCUGCUUUCCCAGGCAGGUUAGCAGACAGCUGGAGCCCAUGGUGAACGGCUUCCGGGAGGGUCAGCACUCUGAGGUAGCAGGAGGAUAUCCCAGCGAGGAUCCUGGCUCCUGGCAUCAGACACUCUCAGCUCCGCCCAUGGCAGCCAAUUGGAACUUAUAUGAUUAAAGACAGCGUGGGACGACUCUGUGGAAAAGCAGGUUAAAGCCCUGGCCUGAAGUGCCAGCAUCCCAUAUGGGUGCCAGUUGUAGUCCCGGCUGCUCCUCUUCCAAUCUAGCUCUCUGCUAUGGCCUGGGAAAGCAGUGGAGGAUGGCCCAAGUCCUUGGGCCCCUGUACCUACCUGGGAGACCAGGAAGAAGCUCCUGGCUUCAGAUCAACACAUCUCUGACCAUUGCGGCCAUCUAUGAGUGAACCAGUGGAUGGAAGAUCUCUCUCUCUGUCUCUAGCUCUCUCUGUAACUCUGGCUUUCAAAUAAAUAAAAUAUAUCUUUAAAAAAAGGACAGUGCGUAGCACUGGAUUGUUCUUUCUCUUCUAUCUUUAAGCAAUAUAGUCUUUCCAAUUCUUUCUACCAAGCAGGGAUUGAAAUACCAGUAUCUACCUUACAGAGUUGAUGGGAGAGGGCACCUAACGACGCCCAGCACCAUGGACUCCCCCAUGCCUCCACGGCAUCCAGCAGCCUACUCUCUGCUGUACUUGUUGGUGGGAGAGUGCAUAAAACAA
Oryctolagus cuniculus (rabbit) is the source of this 1653-nucleotide non-coding RNA. NCBI's taxonomy places the organism in Eukaryota, Metazoa, Chordata, Mammalia, Lagomorpha, Leporidae. The record is from RefSeq and is a predicted model, not a curated record.